This 636-nucleotide ribosomal RNA is filed under the name Microbacterium sp. RNAcentral's name for it is "bacterial SSU rRNA". It matches the Rfam family "Bacterial small subunit ribosomal RNA", at positions 173 to 827 of the family's 1533-position model. Lineage: Bacteria; Bacillati; Actinomycetota; Actinomycetes; Micrococcales; Microbacteriaceae. The record is from RNAcentral.
GAGCUGCGAAGGCAUCUUCAGCAGCUGGAAAGAAUUUCGGUCAAGGAUGAGCUCGCGGCCUAUCAGCUUGUUGGUGAGGUAAUGGCUCACCAAGGCGUCGACGGGUAGCCGGCCUGAGAGGGUGACCGGCCACACUGGGACUGAGACACGGCCCAGACUCCUACGGGAGGCAGCAGUGGGGAAUAUUGCACAAUGGGCGCAAGCCUGAUGCAGCAACGCCGCGUGAGGGACGACGGCCUUCGGGUUGUAAACCUCUUUUAGCAGGGAAGAAGCGAAAGUGACGGUACCUGCAGAAAAAGCACCGGCUAACUACGUGCCAGCAGCCGCGGUAAUACGUAGGGUGCAAGCGUUAUCCGGAAUUAUUGGGCGUAAAGAGCUCGUAGGCGGUUUGUCGCGUCUGCUGUGAAAUCUGGGGGCUCAACCCCCAGCCUGCAGUGGGUACGGGCAGACUAGAGUGCGGUAGGGGAGAUUGGAAUUCCUGGUGUAGCGGUGGAAUGCGCAGAUAUCAGGAGGAACACCGAUGGCGAAGGCAGAUCUCUGGGCCGUAACUGACGCUGAGGAGCGAAAGGGUGGGGAGCAAACAGGCUUAGAUACCCUGGUAGUCCACCCCGUAAACGUUGGGAACUAGUUGUGGGG